Molecule: ribosomal RNA, 253 nt
Filed under: uncultured bacterium
Lineage: Bacteria
Description: partial 16S ribosomal RNA
Rfam family: Bacterial small subunit ribosomal RNA
Source: RNAcentral
UACGGAGGGGGCUAGCGUUGUUCGGAAUUACUGGGCGUAAAGCGUGCGCAGGCGGUUUUGUAAGUUUGUCGUGAAAUCCCCGGGCUUAACCUGGGAAUUGCGAUGAAGACUGCAAGGCUAGAAUCUGGCAGAGGGGGGUAGAAUUCCACGUGUAGCAGUGAAAUGCGUAGAGAUGUGGAGGAACACCGAUGGCGAAGGCAGCCCCCUGGGUCAAGAUUGACGCUCAUGCAUGAAAGCGUGGGGAGCAAACAGG